GAUGAACGCUAGCGACAGGCUUAACACAUGCAAGUCGAGGGGCAUCACGGGAGUAGCAAUACAACUGGUGGCGACCGGCGCACGGGUGAGUAACGCGUAUGCAACCUACCUAUCAGAGGGGAAUAACCCGGCGAAAGUCGGACUAAUACCGCAUAAAACAGGGACACCGCAUGGUGAUAUUUGUUAAAGAAAUUCGCUGAUAGAUGGGCAUGCGUUCCAUUAGGUAGUUGGUGAGGUAACGGCUCACCAAGCCGACGAUGGAUAGGGGAACUGAGAGGUUGGUCCCCCACACUGGUACUGAGACACGGACCAGACUCCUACGGGAGGCAGCAGUGAGGAAUAUUGGUCAAUGGGCGGGAGCCUGAACCAGCCAAGUCGCGUGCAGGAAGAAUGUCCUAUGGAUUGUAAACUGCUUUUGCAGGGGAAUAAAGUGCAUCACGUGUGAUGUUUUGUAUGUACUCUGCGAAUAAGGAUCGGCUAACUCCGUG
RNAcentral lists this ribosomal RNA (488 nucleotides) under uncultured bacterium. RNAcentral describes it as "bacterial SSU rRNA". It matches the Rfam family "Bacterial small subunit ribosomal RNA", at positions 28 to 507 of the family's 1533-position model. The record is from RNAcentral.